UGGGGAAUUUUGCGCAAUGGGGGCAACCCUGAUCCAGCAAUGCCGCGUGAGUGAAGAAGGCCUUCGGGUUGUAAAGCUCUUUUGUCAGGGAAGAAACACCGGCUCUAACACAGUCCGGGAAUGACGGUACCUGAAGAAUAAGCACCGGCUAACUACGUGCCAGCAGCCGCGGUAAUACGUAGGGUGCAAGCGUUGUUCGGAAUCAUUGGGCGUAAAGAGCGUGUAGGCGGCUGGAUAAGUCAGAUGUGAAAUCCCUGGGCUCAACCCAGGAAGUGCAUUUGAAACUGUUCGGCUAGAGUAGGGGAGAGGGAAGUGGAAUUCCUAGUGUAGGAGUGAAAUCCGUAGAUAUUAGGAGGAACACCGGUGGCGAAGGCGGCUACCUGGACCGAUAUUGACGCUGAGACGCGAAAGCGUGGGGAGCAAACAGG
This 428-nucleotide ribosomal RNA is filed under the name uncultured bacterium. RNAcentral describes it as "bacterial SSU rRNA". It matches the Rfam family "Bacterial small subunit ribosomal RNA", at positions 355 to 776 of the family's 1533-position model. The record is from RNAcentral.